This 1289-nucleotide long non-coding RNA is filed under the name Triticum aestivum (bread wheat). Its description in RNAcentral is "long non-coding RNA (TAES_LNC005626)". Lineage: Eukaryota; Viridiplantae; Streptophyta; Magnoliopsida; Poales; Poaceae. The record is from RNAcentral.
GACAUACUGGAGGAAAUUUGAUGAGAAGUAUCAUUUUUCUUGUCAGUUUACUUCUGAUAUAAUCGCUAUGAACACUGUUGAUUUCAUAAUCAAUGCACUUGAUGUUUCACGAUCUGUACUGCAGAUUUUCAGAACACUAAGGGCAUAUCUUGGCUUGGAAUGCUGAUGGUUGGGCGAACGCCAUGGAUCAUGGCAAGUGCGAUUUUCAGAACACUAAGGGCAUAUCUUGGCUUGGAAUGCUCAUGGUUCGACGAACGUCAUGGAUCAUGGCAAGUGCUCCUCUCCACUUCCCCUCCCUGCUAAAAAUCAGUUCCAAUUGUUGUACAAGUUUCCCGAUAUGGCUUUCUGAAUUUUAAUUUGUCGCUUGUUCUGUCGUACUCGGUGGUUAUUGUUUGGCCUACAUAUAGAGGUAAAUGUUUUGUAUGAGAUUAUUUAUCCGGACCUCACCGAUGAUUACUUGAACUCAGGUUGGACAACAUAUGAAAUGUUAAAUUUAGCAAGAUAUUGCGAUUCGAUUUCUCUUUCAAUGUCAUCAUCCUGCAAUGGAUGUGUAUGUCUAUUUUGUCAUCUAGUUGCGAUGCAUGGGCACUUUCAUUUGAUUAUACAGUUCUACUGCGGGAAGGGAAAUAUGGACUCUGGAUGUCCAUUUCUGAGGUGUCAAUCUGGUGCUCGGCUAUAUAGUACAGGGAAGAGUUCUUCUAGAUCCUAAUACAGGUAAUCUGAUUCAUAGCUUAGGUGCAUUUUUCUUUAUUCAUAGUUAGCUAAUAGCAAUAACAUCUGCACUUUCCCUACAACCUAUAUUGAAGGUAAAGUAAUGAUUUCACAUAUGCACUUUCCCUACAACCUAUAUCGAAGGUACUAACUGCAAUAUUUUCCAUAUGAACCUGAUAAAGAUAGUACUAAUACCUUGAAUUUCUACAAAGAAUAGGUGACACCAAGUUGCCAACCAUUUUUGGACCUGUCAUCUUUUUCCCCACUAGGGCGCUUCCUUCAAAUUUAUCAUGGGUGCCCUCAAGUUGACACGCUUGUUCUUAUUGUUGCUUAUGUAUGAAUUUCCUGAGAGCUGCUUACGUAUUUUUUAUUCAUGAAUUACAUGACCAAUGAGUCAGGUGUGAAGAUGUUUUAUAAAUCAAGACAACCAACAUGCUGAAAUUUUGGAGCAAUUGCUGAAGGAAAGUACCACUUACUCUUGUUUCUAGUAGAUUUCAUCAUUUUAUUCUUAGAGUCAGCUACAUAGUUAAUAUUGCAAAACUUAUAGUUCAUGGUGAAGGAAAGUACCUAUUGCAAGU